This 444-nucleotide unclassified non-coding RNA is filed under the name uncultured Russula. RNAcentral's name for it is "sequence contains ITS2". The stretch from base 1 to 154 matches the Rfam family "5.8S ribosomal RNA". Lineage: Eukaryota; Fungi; Basidiomycota; Agaricomycetes; Russulales; Russulaceae. The record is from RNAcentral.
AACUUUCAAAAACGGAUCUCUUGGCUCUCGCAUCGAUGAAGAACGCAGCGAAAUGCGAUACGUAAUGUGAAUUGCAGAAUUCAGUGAAUCAUCGAAUCUUUGAACGCACCUUGCGCCCCUUGGUAUUCCGAGGGGCACACCCGUUUGAGUGUCGUGAAUACUCUCAACCUUCUUGGUUUCUUUGACCACGAAGGCUUGGACUUUGGAGGUUUUUCUUGCUGGCCUCUUUAGAAGCCAGCUCCUCCUAAAUGAAUGGGUGGGGUCCGCUUUGCUGAUCCUCGACGUGAUAAGCAUUUCUUCUACGUCUCAGUGUCAGCUCGGAACCCGCUUUCCAACCGUCUUUGGACAAAGACAAUGUUCGAGUUGCGACUCGACCUUACAAACCUUGACCUCAAAUCGGGUGAGACUACCCGCUGAACUUAAGCAUAUCAAUAAGCGGAGGCU